UGCGAACUCCUACUGGAGGCAGCAGUGGGGAAUUUUGGACAAUGGGGGCAACCCUGAUCCAGCCAUGCCGCGUGAGUGAAGAAGGCCUUCGGGUUGUAAAGCUCUUUCAGCCGGGAAGAAAAUGCAUGGGUUAAUACCCUAUGCAGAUGACGGUACCGGAAUAAGAAGCACCGGCUAACUACGUGCCAGCAGCCGCGGUAAUACGUAGGGUGCGAGCGUUAAUCGGAAUUACUGGGCGUAAAGCGUGCGCAGGCGGUUUUGUAAGACAGGCGUGAAAUCCCCGGGCUUAACCUGGGAACUGCGUUUGUGACUGCAAGGCUAGAGUACGGCAGAGGGGGGUGGAAUUCCACGUGUAGCAGAGAAAUGCGUAGAGAUGUGGAGGAACACCAAUGGCGAAGGCAGCCCCCUGGGUCGAUACUGACGCUCAUGCACGAAAGCGUGGGUAGCAAACAGGAUUAGAAACCCUGGUAGUCCAGAUG
This 479-nucleotide ribosomal RNA is filed under the name uncultured bacterium. RNAcentral's name for it is "bacterial SSU rRNA". It matches the Rfam family "Bacterial small subunit ribosomal RNA", at positions 330 to 801 of the family's 1533-position model. The record is from RNAcentral.